This is a non-coding RNA of Elaeis guineensis (African oil palm), 5094 nucleotides long. Lineage: Eukaryota; Viridiplantae; Streptophyta; Magnoliopsida; Arecales; Arecaceae. The record is from RefSeq and is a predicted model, not a curated record.
UAUAUCCGAAGAGGACGGGAGUUUAGUGGAAGAAGGGGAAAGGGGAUCUGAGGGAAGGGGAGGUGGGUCUCUCGAAACCCUUGGGAUGGGGUUGGUUUGGAAAACGUUCUCUCCUUUACGUUCCGAAGGAGCUUAGGGUUUGCAGCGUUUUCCAAUACCUCCCAUGCCAACAGUUUCGAGUCAUCCCUCCCUCUCCCUUGCUGCCUUUUUGUGUGUCUGUGACUUGAGAUAGCCUGUUUCUCUUUGUUAUUUGAGUCGAGGAGGACCUCUACCUUGCUGCCUUUUGGUGUGUCUGUGAGUUGAGAUGGCCUGUUUCUCUUUGUUAUUUGAGUCGAGGAGGAGGGAGUGGGUGAUGGGAGAGGAAGUUGUGGGUUCGUAAGAGCUGUGGGAAUGGGGGCAUCAGGAAAUCCUUCUCUUCUCUUGCCAUGUGCCGCGUGGGAAGAUGAGGUGUUUGGGUAUUUGCCGAUGCCUCCCAUUCCUACUGUUUUUAUGAGCUCCUUCCUCUCCCCUCCCACUGUUUUGAUUCUAUGUGGCGCUUUUUCUGGUUCUCUUAUCUGGCUGUGUGUCUUUCCUUCUGAUGUUUUUGUUUUUCGUGCAAUUUCGUUUGUGUGGUGUCUAUCUGAUUUUUUUGCAGGCUAUGGUGUUUUUUCUCCAGCUGACUUGUGCGUUAGUGUGGCAAAUUUGUGGAAUUGGAUUAUAAACGGGUAAUUGAAGCGUCUGCGUAUCUGCGGGAUUAUUGAGGUUUUUUGUUGGUUGCGUUGAUUUGAACGUAUGCAAGGAAAUAAUUUUUUGAAGGUUUGAUUGGGCUUUCGAACCUUUUCGCCCAGAAAAGUUGAUCUUUGGACUGCGUUUGGAAGUUAAUCUAGGAGUAUAUAACACGAGAAAAUUACUUGAAAAUAAAUGGAUUUGAAAACAUAAAAGCCGAUCCAUAUUUUUUUAUAGAAAUGUUGUGGUUGAGUAAAAGCCCUCCGAUUUUUUUUUUUGAAGCUCAGAGAAGUGAAAGCUACUUACAAAAAUUGUGUGUGUAUGAUGUAAAUGUGGUGUGAUAUUUAGGGAAGAAAAGAAUGGUAACGUUUUACUUGGGUGAGAUGUAAAAGAAGAGAGAGGUUCUAAUGUGCACAAGUUGGUUUUAUAUGCUAGUUCUUUGAUUCAAUGUUUUAUGCUGAACCCUAGUUCUUAAUGUUAAAGGGGUUUCUUUUUUUUUUGGUUUAAGCCAUGAGUUUCCAAAUAGAGAAGAGAGAUAGCGGGUCAUUACAUUUUAAGAAAAAGUGGUUUGGGUGGCACCAUCUAAAUGAGGUUGUGUUAGAUCUGUCUCCAUAAAACUUUUAGAGAAUUAGUACAGUAGAGUGGUCAAUUUUAUGGGACGAUGUUUUUCUAUGGACUUAGAUCGGUUCAUUGUAAUAAAUUUUUUGGAUAUUUAUGUAAAUAAAUCGAGAAAGAAUUUUUUUUAGAUGAUUCGUAAAUUCAUCUUUAUAAAUUUUUAGAGAAUUAUUGUGCCGUCUUUACUGCAGUAAAAUGUAUAAAAGGAGGUUGAGAUGUCUUAUUUAGGUAGUUGUAUUGGUUCAAAUUUAUGAUUUCUAUGGUUCCCAUGUCUUGAAUGAGUGUAGGCUAUGAGUAAGCUUUUGUUAGUUUGGUGGGAUCUAGCAAGAAUCCGUUGGAAUUUAACGUAAUUUUCUAGGGACUUUCUCGAUGGCUAGAUGCAAAUUUUAUAAAAAUUAUGAAUAUGGAUCGAUAUAACUAUUUAAAUGAGGUAGGUCCGGUUUGAAUCAAAAUGAUCGUUGCAGCGGAUUCAUCUGAAUCCUAUAAAAAGGAACAUCUAUUAAGAUUUUUAUAUUAUUAUUUUUAUGGGACUGGGAUCAAUUCAUUUUAAUGAUGUUUUAAAAAUUAGGGCGAAAAUCUUAUGGGAUUGGUUGUUUGACUAAUCCAAUCCGAUAGAUAAUAAGAAAUAUAAGCUUGUACUGGAAGUUGUUUGUGUUUGGGUUUGCCGAGGGCUUUUUUUGCUUUUUAUCGACGUGGGCCGCCCCAUUUUCAAAUUAUUUUUUAAUAUUUAUAAAUAUCCACUUUGUAGUCUUGCUAGUAGGUCUAAGUCAAUUGGCCAAUUUAAAGAAUUUUCAGCUCUUGGGUUCUUAAAAUUUUGAUGAAUUUGUCAGCUUUUCGCGGAGCAAAAUGCAUCACACAGGCAUUGCUUCGUUGAUUAUUUAAUUAUGUCAAAGAAAAUAUAUAACAAAAUAAUUAAUUAAUAAAUAUAUAAUAUUUAAUUAAAUUGAUAUCCGCUUAUAUUUUAAUUAAUAAUGUAAAUGAUUUUUAAUUAUAUGAAAAUUGUUAAUUAUGAUUAAAAACAGGAAGGGUUAUCAAUAUGGAGUCGGUGAUUACGAACGCCAAGAGGGAAUCGUCCUUUCGUGCCGCUUUCAGGGGUUUGUCGAGGCUUUAUCACCUAUUUUACCGCCGGUUGCUCACCACAAAGCGGAUGUGGAAUUGCUGAGGGUUAUAUAAAGUAUUUUUCUUUGAGGGCCCGUUUUUUUUUUUUUGUAGAUAAAAAAUUUACCCAUAAAAUUAUAUUUUUUUAGGUAAGUAUUUUUUAGAUAAUAUUUAGAUAAAAAAAUAAUUUAUCUAUAUUUUUUUAUACAUGAAAAAGUAUAUGGGAAAGUGACUUUGAAAUCUGUUAUUCAUGUUCUUUUGCAUUAUUAUUUUUUUGGGUAAGUUGUUAAAUUUUAUCCAUAUUUCUCAUAAUACUCUUUAUGCUUCUUGGAUCAAAUUUGAUGAUUUAUUUAUAAAGUUUAAUUUUUUUGUACCAAAUUUUAUCCAUAUUUCUCAUAAUAUUUUUUAUGCUUCUUGGAUCAAAUUUGAUGAUUUAUUUAUAAAGUUUAAUUUUUUUUUUAUCAAACUAAGCUAAGCUUUGGAAAGUUAUUAGGUAUGAAGAUGGUAAUGAUCAAAGAGAUAAUGAGAAGAAAAAAAGCUUUGAAAAAAAUAGUUUGAGUUAUUAGGCAUUAACGAUAGAGGUAUCGAAACGAGAAAAAAGAUAUUUUAGGAAUAAAAUUAAGAGAUCAUUUUAUCGGUUGAUGAGAAAAUCAUUUAGCCAUCUCUUAGAUGGGUAAAAUUUUCUUCCUAUUUCAUGGGUAAAUGUCACUCAUGGAAAAUAAUUUACCCAUCUUGAAAUCUGUGAGAAUAUGAGUAAGUUGGUCAAUAGAAAAAUUGAUCAAUUUUUUCAUGAUAUUUAUCCAUAAAAGAACGAAUUCUGAAGAAAAAAUUUUGUUCAAUCUAAGCAUCAUGGAAUAUCGAGUUGGGAUCCUGUAAAGUGCAUGCCUAGUUGCUAAUAGGUAAGAGGAUUAUUUAGAAAAAUGGAAUGCACUGCAAAGAGGGAUGAGCCAGGGGGCCAUGGUGGCCUUUUUUUCGAUGGCUUUGGGUUUUUGCAAGGUCAGGUUUGGGAUGUCAUUGAAUUUAUCGUUCCUCUUGGAGUGAGAGUAAGGUUAUGAUGAGGUGAGUUUGAUCAAAUCUUACAUCUGAUCAAGCUUGUUUUGAAAUUAAUUGUGAGCUUGAAAUUUGAGGGGGAGAUUGGUUUAUUUAUCAUGGCGUUAAUUGGGCCAAGUACCAGCUUUAUUGACUAGUUUGAAAAUAUUAAAUUAAACUGGAAAAUCACUUCAAAUUGGAACCAAACUCAGUUCAAGCUUGAGUUGAAGCUGGAUUCCUUUUUUGGAUGGGAAUGGGAAGUGAAAGCUUUCCCUCAGAUUUAGAGUUGAAGGUAGAUUCAAGCUUGGUUUACUUGUAAAUUCAAGUUUGAUUCCAAUCUAAAAUUGAUGUUUCAUAAAUUCGAAAAUAAAUAAACAUUCAAGCUCGAAACAACCUUCAUAUUAUGGACUAUUUGAUCAAAAGAUCUCGCAACCACCAUAUAAACUUACAUCUAUGUAUAGUUUUGAGUUUCAUUAAGCCGCGACUGAUCGAGGUAAAUCUUAUUUUGAUUCAGUUUGAAAUUAUAUUUGAACCUAGGUCAUCGAUAACCGCGGCUCCUGUAGCUUUGGAUUAGGAUGAAUUGAGUAUUUUCUCAGCUGAGAUGGCGCAAAUUCUUACGUCGAACGACCAUAUGAGAGAACGAGAUAGCCUUGUGCAAAAGCAAGCAAACCGCCGGGUGGGAGAAGUAUUCACGGUGUUUGGUGAUACGUUUUCAUAGAAUUUUUUGAAAUCUUUAUGUUUUUUAGAACAUCUUUAUUUUUCUCGGAUUGGACUGAAUCUUAACUAUUUAACUUCUUCUUUAACCCAGAAAUAAAAUUGGGCAUCCGUGUCUUUCCAUUGGUGCGCGAGCGCGACUCCGAUCUCCUUUCUUUGAGGCAUCUUACGGCGGCCUAGCUAUGGCCCAUGGUAGAACUCAAGCGGCUCUCGAUGAGUCAGAAUUUCAUUCGGAUCCAUUCGGAUCAAAUAUAUUGGUGUCUACUCACAUAUCUGCGGCUUAGGUUUCAACUCUGCUUUGGAGGCUCGCACCAUUUUCAAGAGCAUGAUUGGCCAGCAGUCCACCCAUAUGAUUGCUGACCUCAUCUUUUUGCUUAUCCGUAAGGACAAGAUCACUGGCGACUCCAUCCUCCUUAUCGACCAACUAGGCACCAUCAAGACCACCAUUGUCAUGGGCCUCGCCAAGUCUCUUGACCAGGAGAUUUUCUUUGCCACUGUCUUCGACUUCAAGCUUUUCUCUCUUAAGAUGUCUAAGAUCAAAACCCUCGUUUCGGCUUUUUGUCUGCUUUGCUUUUCAUCUUUGGAGCUUAUUCUUUCUUUUCUCUUUUCACUGCAACGGUGGAGCUCAAGAUGCUUUCAGAGAGCUCGGAUCUCACCCAAAUUGAGCAUUUCGGCGUCCACUCGUACAUCUACAAUCUGGGCUUUGACUUCGUCUUGGAGGUCUGCACCAUCUCCGAGAGCAUGAUCGGUCAGUAGUCCGGUUGUAAAACCAUUGGUCUCAUUCUCUAGCUCAUUUGUAAGGGCAAGAUCACAUAUCGUGCCAUCCUCCUUGUCAGCCAGUUCAACAUCGACAAGAUCGUAAUUGCCCCCUUCGCCACUAUCUCUAGCUCCAAGCUUUUCUCCCUCAAGAUAUUUAAGAUCAAAAUUCUCACC